AUACGGAGGGGGCUAGCGUUGUUCGGAAUUACUGGGCGUAAAGAGUGCGUAGGCGGCUUGUUAAGUCAGUUGUUAAAGACCUUAGCUUACCUGAGGAAAGGCAACUGAUACUGGCAUGCUAGAGGGCAAGAGAGAGAAGUGGAAUUCUCGGAGUAGCGGUAAAAUGCGUAGAUCUCGAGAGGAACACCGGUGGCGAAGGCGGCUUCUUGGCUUGUCCCUGACGCUGAGGCACGAAAGCGUGGGUAGCGAACAGGAUUAGAUACCCGGGUAGUCC
This 274-nucleotide ribosomal RNA is filed under the name uncultured bacterium. RNAcentral's name for it is "partial 16S ribosomal RNA". It matches the Rfam family "Bacterial small subunit ribosomal RNA", at positions 523 to 796 of the family's 1533-position model. The record is from RNAcentral.